This 463-nucleotide ribosomal RNA is filed under the name uncultured bacterium. RNAcentral's name for it is "partial 16S ribosomal RNA". It matches the Rfam family "Bacterial small subunit ribosomal RNA", at positions 28 to 507 of the family's 1533-position model. The record is from RNAcentral.
GACGAACGCUGGCGGCGUGCUUAACACAUGCAAGUCGAGCGCAAAGGUCUCUUCGGUGGUCCUAGCGCGGCCGACGGGGUGGUAAAACGUGAGUAAACUUGCCCUCCAUUUAGGGUUAACACCGGGAACGGUGUGUAAUACCGGAUAUAAGCCAAUCGCACUUGGGGUGAGGCUGAAAGAAUGUCGGUGGGGGAUGGGGUCGCGGGCUAUCAGCUCGUUGGUGAGGGGUAGGGGCACCAUGGCUUCGAGGGGGAGACGGCCUGAGAGGGGGACCGGGCACACUGGGGCUGAGAGACAGCCCAGACUCCUCCGGGAGGCAGCAGUGGGGAAAAUUGUGGAAAGGGGGGAAACCUGAUCCAGCAACGCCGCGUGAGGGAUAACGGCCUUCGGGUUGUAAACCUCUUUCAGUACCGACGAGGCGAAAGUGACGGUAGGUACAGAAGAAGCAACGGCUAAAUACGUG